This 1814-nucleotide long non-coding RNA is filed under the name Homo sapiens (human). RNAcentral's name for it is "HSALNT0406257". Lineage: Eukaryota; Metazoa; Chordata; Mammalia; Primates; Hominidae. The record is from RNAcentral.
UCUGACCCCCUUCUGGGCACUGGGCCACCAGCUGCUGGGCAUGGCCAGUGAGUGAGGGUGAGGGCAAGAUGAGGAAGAGGUGGCGUAAGGUGGGAAAGGAUUACUUGCCAGACGCUUGGCUGAGUCUGUUCUCUAAGCCAUGCUGCGAGGCAGGUGCUAUUGUGUCUGCAUUUUGCGGAUGAGGAAACUGUGGCUCAGAGAAGGGAAGUCACUGUUUUAAGGUGAAGUGGCCAGUGGAGGUGGGGCUAGGGUUCGAAUCCUAGGAUCAGGCACACUGCCUGGGGAUAACCUCUAGAGGUGUCUGUGCUUCCCAGCUAGACCGGAGCUCGCUGCAGCCCCUCACUUUUUCCCCGGUCCUGCUUCAGGCCCCACUUCCUCUCUGCAGGUGCUUAGGCCGAAAAUCAGGAAUCUCUUGAAUGAAUGCAUGAAGGUGGAGCCCUUUCCCUUAAUGCGCAGGUGAAAAGGGCACCUCGGUGGAUUCUACUAAAUUUAAUAGAAGGUGUCUACUCCUGCAGGCUUACCUGUAACCUUUGUCACUCACUCUUCUGAUUCUGCAAACAUAUAAACCACGGAGCCACAGCCAAGAGAAUCUGGACUUGUUCGUUUUUCCUGAAAUAGGAUAUCUUAAAUAAUCCGUGGCUCAGCACUGCGCCCUUUUUUUUCUUUUCUUUUCUUUUUUUUUUUUUUUUUGAGACGGAGUCUCGCUCUGUUGCCCAGGCUGGAGUGCAAUGUCAUGAUCUUGGCUCACUGCAACCUCUGCCUCCUGGGUUCAAGCAACUCUCCUGCCUCAGCCUCCUGAGGAGCUGGGACUGCAGGUGCAAGACACCACGCCUGGCUAAUUUUUGUUAUUUUUAGUAGAGACAGUGUUUCACUAUGUUGGCCAGGCUGGUCUCGAACUCCUGACCUCAAAUGAUCUGCCUGCCUCGGCCUCCCAAAGUGCUGGGAUUACAGGCACAAGCCACAGCACCCAGCCUCACUGUGCCCUUUUCACUGGCAGGCAUUUUAUUGUCCCUACAGACCCAAGACGGGGUGGGGGAGACGUGCUUUGUGCUCACCUGGCUGGUUCAUGGGCAGGUGGCCUGGAGGACCCAGCCCUGGCAGCUGUGGGGUAGCUCCAGCCUGGGCCGGACAGCUUCUUUCAUCGCAGGCACCACUGCGGACAUUGCUGGGAGGAAGAGGAGGGAGAAGCGACGGGCUUCAUUAGGAACGGAAAUGCCAAGAUUAGUGAAAGAAUGAAAAGAGUCAAAACAGCCUAGAAAAGGCUUCAAUGAUCCUCAAACUGGAUGAUCGAAUCCCGAAUAAUUGGGAAUCAACAGUAAAGGCCAAAGCUUUCGAUGGAUUGGACGAGGCGCGUCCACCCUGGGGAGGGCCAUCAUUUUAUUCAGUCUACUGAUGCAAAUGCUUAUCUCUUCUGGAAACACCUUCACAGACAGACCCAGAAUAUAGUUGAACCAAAUACUGGGCACCUCAUGGCUCCAACAGGUUGACACAAAAAAUGAACCAUUGCAGAAAACGAAGAACAGUCACCAACUCCCACCCAUGCAGCUGGCUCAUUUGCUGGGCUGCCCUCCCCAGCAGGUGGCACAGGAAUCCCUGCCUUGGCAGGGAGGAGGCCUGGGGUGUGUGCAGGUACCCAUGGGAAGUUUCUUUGCCAUGGGGAAAGCCAGAGUCACCCCUUGCUUGAACACAAGAGUUGGAGGUUUCAGUGAGCUGAGAUUACGCUAUUGCACUCCAGCCUGGGCGGCAGAGUGAGACUCUGUCUCUAGAUAAAUAAAUUAAAUAAAUAAAUAAAUAUAAUUUAAUAUAAAUAACUA